GUUUUCACCAACACUGGUUCGGACCUCCAUCCGCUGUUACACGGACUUCAUCCUGGCCAAGGGUAGAUCAUCCCGCUUCGCGUCUAUUCCCAGCGACUCAACGCCCUAUUCAGACUCGCUUUCGCUUCGGCUCGCUUGCGCUUAACCUUGCCACUGAGAAUAACUAGCCAGCUCAUUAUGCAAUAGGCACGAUGUCAGGCAUUCUCCUUGCGGAGCAUAGCCCUCCAACUGCUUGUAAGCGUGUGGUUUCAGGUACUAUUUCACUCCCCUCGCAGGGGUUCUUUUCACCUUUCCCUCACGGUACUGGUUCACUAUCGGUCGCAAAUUAGUAUUUAGCCUUACCGGAUGGUCCCGGCAGAUUCCCGCAGGGUUUCUCGUGCCCCGCGGUACUCAGGAACCACUGGAAGGAGGAUUGCAUUUUCACCUACGGGGCUGUCACCCUCUAUGGCCGGCCUUUCCAGACCGUUCGAUUAACACUUUCCUAUCCCUCUGUUUACCAGGUCUCGGGUCAGGCCUUUCAGCCUUACCCGACACCUGAUAUUGUGGUCCUACAACCCCAGGCUCUCCUUACGAAUCGCCUGGUUUGGGCUAUUCCGAUUUCGCUCGCCACUACUUUCGGAAUCUCUGUUGAUUUCUCUUCCUCUGGGUACUGAGAUGGUUCACUUCCCCAGGUUCGCUCGAUCACCCUAUGGAUUCAGAUGAACGUAAUUGAUGUUCGCAUCAAUUGGGUUUCCCCAUUCGGAAAUCCCCGGAUCACAGACUGUUAGCGUCUUCCCGGGGCUUAUCGCAGCUGACCACGUCCUUCAUCGCCUACUUGCGCCAAGGCAUCCACACACACGCCCUUAGUAGCUUGACCAUAAAAUCUACUCUGAACAC
RNAcentral lists this ribosomal RNA (876 nucleotides) under uncultured bacterium 89. RNAcentral describes it as "partial 23S ribosomal RNA". The record is from RNAcentral.